Molecule: ribosomal RNA, 403 nt
Filed under: Fusobacteriota bacterium
Lineage: Bacteria; Fusobacteriati; Fusobacteriota
Description: Fusobacteria bacterium partial 16S ribosomal RNA
Rfam family: Bacterial small subunit ribosomal RNA
Source: RNAcentral
UGGGGAAUAUUGCACAAUGGAGGGAACUCUGAUGCAGCGACGCCGCGUGAACGAAGAAGGCUUUCGAGUCGUAAAGUUCUUUUAUAUGGGAAGAUAAUGACGGUACCAUAAGAAAAAGCCCCGGCUAACUCCGUGCCAGCAGCCGCGGUAAUACGUAGGGGGCUAGCGUUGUCCGGAAUCACUGGGCGUAAAGGGUUCGCAGGCGGAAAUGCAAGUCAGGUGUAAAAGGCAGUAGCUUAACUACUGUAAGCAUUUGAAACUGCAUAUCUUGAGAAGAGUAGAGGUAAGUGGAAUUUUUAGUGUAGCGGUGAAAUGCGUAGAUAUUAAAAAGAAUACCGGUGGCGAAGGCGACUUACUGGGCUCAUUCUGACGCUGAGGAACGAAAGCGUGGGUAGCAAACAGG